CUAACUCCGAGUUAGUGUGAGGCCUGAACGGCGAAGCAACAGGAGGAAGCCGGUGCGAAACCGGCGCGGUCCCGCCACUGUGACCUGGGAAGACCCGGGGAGUCAGGAACUCCGCACGCCGUCCCCUACGAC
Molecule: non-coding RNA, 132 nt
Filed under: Actinosynnema mirum
Lineage: Bacteria; Bacillati; Actinomycetota; Actinomycetes; Pseudonocardiales; Pseudonocardiaceae
Also listed under: 1 other name
Source: RNAcentral